Molecule: ribosomal RNA, 341 nt
Filed under: uncultured Pseudomonadota bacterium
Lineage: Bacteria; Pseudomonadati; Pseudomonadota
Description: bacterial SSU rRNA
Rfam family: Bacterial small subunit ribosomal RNA
Source: RNAcentral
AACGAACGCUAGCGGCGUGCUUAACACAUGCAAGUCGAACGAGAAAUCCCGGGCAACUGGGAGAGUAAAGUGGCGCACGGGUGAGUAACGCGUGGGUAAUCUGCCCUGGAGUUGGGAAUAACACCUCGAAAGGGGUGCUAAUACCCGGUAAGAUCCUGAGAACUCCGGUCCUUGGGAUAAAAGGUAGCUGAGGCUUGCAAGCUAUUGCUCCAGGAUGAGCCCGCGUACCAUUAGCUUGUUGGUGGGGUAACGGCCCACCAAGGCGACGAUGGUUAGCUGGUCUGAGAGGAUGAUCAGCCACACUGGAACUGACACACGGUCCAGACUCCUACGGGUGGCAG